GGAGGCAGCAGUGAGGAAUAUUGGUCAAUGGACGAGAGUCUGAACCAGCCAAGUAGCGUGAAGGAUGACUGCCCUAUGGGUUGUAAACUUCUUUUAUAUGGGAAUAAAACAGGGUAUGCAUACCCUCUUGUAUGUACCAUAUGAAUAAGGAUCGGCUAACUCCGUGCCAGCAGCCGCGGUAAUACGGAGGAUCCGAGCGUUAUCCGGAUUUAUUGGGUUUAAAGGGAGCGUAGGUGGAUUGUUAAGUCAGUUGUGAAAGUUUGCGGCUCAACCGUAAAAUUGCAGUUGAAACUGGCAGUCUUGAGUACAGUAGAGGUGGGCGGAAUUCGUGGUGUAGCGGUGAAAUGCUUAGAUAUCACGAAGAACUCCGAUUGCGAAGGCAGCUCACUGGACUGCAACUGACACUGAUGCUCGAAAGUGUGGGUAUCAAACAGGAUUAGAUACCCUGGUAGUCCACACAGUAAACGAUGAAUACUCGCUGUUUGCGAUAUACAGUAA
RNAcentral lists this ribosomal RNA (498 nucleotides) under uncultured bacterium. RNAcentral describes it as "bacterial SSU rRNA". It matches the Rfam family "Bacterial small subunit ribosomal RNA", at positions 344 to 842 of the family's 1533-position model. The record is from RNAcentral.